UCCGAUUUGAAUAUCGGCAGUCUCGUCAGAGUGCCCGGCCGAACCGCUGGCAACAUAGGAAAGGGGUUGCGCUCGUUGCGGGACUUAACCCAACAUCUCACGACACAAGCUGACGACAGCCAUGCACCACCUGUGCACGGCCCCGAAGGACACGGGCUUUCACCCGCUUUACCGUGCAUGUCAAGCCCAGGUAAGGUUCUUCGCGUUGCAUCGAAUUAAUCCACAUGCUCCGCCGCUUGUGCGGGCCCCCGUCAAUUUCUUUGAGUUUUAGCCUUGCGGCCGUACUCCCCAGGCGGGGUACUUAAUGCGUUAGCUACGGCACGGAUCCCAAGGAAGAAACCCACACCUAGUACCCACCGUUUACGGCGUGGACUAC
This 376-nucleotide unclassified non-coding RNA is filed under the name uncultured Actinomycetes bacterium. RNAcentral describes it as "uncultured actinobacterium contains 16S-23S intergenic spacer region". The record is from RNAcentral. Lineage: Bacteria; Bacillati; Actinomycetota; Actinomycetes.